This is a small nuclear RNA of Sorex araneus (European shrew), 103 nucleotides long. The record is from RefSeq and is a predicted model, not a curated record. NCBI's taxonomy places the organism in Eukaryota, Metazoa, Chordata, Mammalia, Eulipotyphla, Soricidae.
GUGCUUGCUUCAGCAGCACAUGCACUAAAAUUGGAAUGAUAGAAGAUUUGCAUGGCCCCUGCACAAGGAUGACACACAAAUUCAUGAAGCCUUCCAUAUUUUA